UACAGAGGUUUCAAGCGUUGUUCGGAUUCAUUGGGCGUAAAGGGUGCGUAGGCGGCGCGGUAAGUCGGGUGUGAAAUCUCGGGGCUUAACUCCGAAACUGCAUUCGAUACUGCCGUGCUUGAGGACUGGAGAGGAGACUGGAAUUUACGGUGUAGCGGUGAAAUGCGUAGAUAUCGUAAGGAAGACCAGUGGCGAAGGCGGGUCUCUGGACAGUUCCUGACGCUGAGGCACGAAGGUCAGGGGAGCAAACGGG
This 253-nucleotide ribosomal RNA is filed under the name uncultured bacterium. RNAcentral's name for it is "partial 16S ribosomal RNA". It matches the Rfam family "Bacterial small subunit ribosomal RNA", at positions 524 to 776 of the family's 1533-position model. The record is from RNAcentral.